GUGAGUCAUCGAAUCUUUGAACGCACCUUGCGCCCUUUGGCUAUUCCGAAGGGCAUGCCUGUUUGAGUAUCAUGAACACCUCAACUCUCAUGGCUUGCCGUGAUGUGCUUGGACUUUGGGGGUCUUGUUGGCCUGUGGGCCAGCUCCUCUUAAAUGAAUCAGCUUGCCGGUGUCUGGUGGCGUCACAGGUGUGAUAACUAUCUACGCUUGUGGUUUCCCACUAGGGUAACCUUCAGCAAUGAAGGUUCACCGGAGCUUAUAAAUGUCUCUCCUCAGCGAGGACAGAUUUUGACCAUUUGAUCUCAAAUCAGGUAGGACUACCCGCUGAACUUAA
This 334-nucleotide ribosomal RNA is filed under the name Tomentella sp. OTU-71. RNAcentral's name for it is "eukaryotic LSU rRNA". The stretch from base 1 to 72 matches the Rfam family "5.8S ribosomal RNA", at positions 84 to 154 of the family's 154-position model. Lineage: Eukaryota; Fungi; Basidiomycota; Agaricomycetes; Thelephorales; Thelephoraceae. The record is from RNAcentral.